This 68-nucleotide transfer RNA is filed under the name Abavorana luctuosa (mahogany frog). RNAcentral's name for it is "partial tRNA-Glx". The record is from RNAcentral. Lineage: Eukaryota; Metazoa; Chordata; Amphibia; Anura; Ranidae.
CUAAAGAGGUAGGAAUUGAACCUACACCCAAGAGAUCAAAACCCUUGGUACUCCCUUAUACUACUCCU